UCUCCCCGCCCCAGGCCCGGAGCUGCUCUGCGCAUGCUCGUCCGGCAGAGUUCCCUGGGAGGCGUUGCUGGCAAGAAGCGAACUUUUCCCGGGACGAUGUCGCGACCCGGCCCUCCCCAGGAACCGGUCAGAAACAGUUUGAUAGAUGACGCUAAGGCCCGCUUAAAAAAGCAUGACUCUGGGACUGAAUAUUCUCACUGUUCAUCUAACAAAUGUUCGAUCCUUCUACCAUUGUUGGCUAAAGAUGGGAAACUUUACCUGUUGUUCACCCUCCGGUCAGAGAAGCUGAGAAGGUCACCCGGAGAGGUCUGCUUUCCUGGAGGUAAGUGCGAACCUACGGACGCGGACGACGUGGCCACGGCUCUCCGGGAGGCCCAGGAGGAAGUGGGGCUGCGUCCUCAUCAAGUGGAGGUGGUCUGCUGCCUGAUGCCACUGCCGUUUGAUAAGGAUAUGUGGAUAACGCCAGUUGUAGGAUUUAUAGACUCCAACUUUGAGGCCAGACCGAACCCGGAUGAAGUUAAGAACGUGUUCCUGGUGCCUCUGGACUACUUCCUGCGUCCCCGUGUUUACCAUCAGAGUCACCUGACACGCUGCGGUCGUCGUGUUAUUGUUCACUGCUUUGAGUACACGGACCCUGAAGAUGGUGUGACGUACUGCAUCCGGGGACUGACCGCAAGAUGUGCCGUGUUUAUCGCCUUAGUGAUUUUGGGGGAGAAACCUUCCUUUGAGGUUGACUUUAAUCUCAGCGAUUUGAUUCCACCCUUUGAAGAGUCCUUCCUGAAGCCUCAGAAACAUGCUCUGAGCAAGUUAUGAUUUAUGAGACCAACACCCAAAUGACUCUCUGAGCAGUGUUCUUGUGGGCUUAGCCACGGAACAAUGAUUUGACCAGCUGUUGGAAUUUGACAGGUGUGAAUAUUUUUACUGCAGCUUGAAGGUGUGACAGAAACUCCUGACCAGCCAUCAGAACACACCCUCCUCCUUGGCUGUAGAGUUGAAGCUGAGCCCAUAGCUCCCCAGGCAGAACCAGCAUUGACUAAGUUCCAGUGCAGUUAAAUGUAGCUCUGAAAUUGAAUUUAGGCCAAUGGGAUGUGAAAUCGUUCUUGCUGGUCAUCUCCAAUUUCAAUUUAAGAGAUAAACCAAACUCCCUCGAUUGCCUUUUCCAUGAUUUAUCUGCAGCCCAGCCUUGACUUUACAGAUAAGACAAUUCCUGCAGGAAAGUCAGAGCUAAAAGAUGUAAGAGCUUGGAUCUCUGAAAGACUGUGGAGCAAAGCAACCUGCCAUCCUGGGCUAUUCCUUUGGGACUGUUACAUGGGAGAAAAAGAAAGCUCUGUCAUUUCUGCCACUGUAAUUGGGGUCAUUUUGUUACAGCAGAGCUAUAGCCUGAAUAAUACACCAUAACUC
Bubalus bubalis (water buffalo) is the source of this 1401-nucleotide RNA transcript. It is a transcript of the gene named nudix hydrolase 7, with no coding region annotated. The record is from RefSeq and is a predicted model, not a curated record. The transcript is spliced from 5 exons. NCBI's taxonomy places the organism in Eukaryota, Metazoa, Chordata, Mammalia, Artiodactyla, Bovidae.